RNAcentral lists this non-coding RNA (98 nucleotides) under Limosilactobacillus equigenerosi. RNAcentral describes it as "Lactobacillus equigenerosi Guanine sequence". It matches the Rfam family "Purine riboswitch aptamer". From Rfam's summary of the family: Riboswitches are metabolite binding domains within certain messenger RNAs that serve as precision sensors for their corresponding targets. Allosteric rearrangement of mRNA structure is mediated by ligand binding, and this results in modulation of gene expression. Lineage: Bacteria; Bacillati; Bacillota; Bacilli; Lactobacillales; Lactobacillaceae. RNAcentral also lists the same sequence under 1 other name. The record is from RNAcentral.
CAUAUUAAUAGAUAUUCCAUUUGUAUAUUGUCAUAUUAUGGCUGACAGUUUCUACCCAAGACCGUUAUUCUUGGACUACGAAUGCGUUGAUAAAAGUU